RNAcentral lists this ribosomal RNA (204 nucleotides) under Chryseobacterium sp. RNAcentral's name for it is "partial 23S ribosomal RNA". It matches the Rfam family "Bacterial large subunit ribosomal RNA", at positions 2708 to 2925 of the family's 2925-position model. The record is from RNAcentral. Lineage: Bacteria; Pseudomonadati; Bacteroidota; Flavobacteriia; Flavobacteriales; Weeksellaceae.
UCUGGUGUAUCAGUUGUACCGCCAGGUGCACCGCUGAGUAGCUACGUUUGGAAGAGAUAAGCACUGAAAGCAUAUAAGUGCGAAACUCGCCUCAAGAUGAGACAUCUUUUAAGGGUCGUGGGAGAUGACCACGUUGAUAGGCUAUAGGUGUAAAGGCAGUAAUGUCAUAGCCGAGUAGUACUAAUUAUCCGUAGAUUUAUAGCC